RNAcentral lists this ribosomal RNA (246 nucleotides) under uncultured bacterium. Its description in RNAcentral is "partial 16S ribosomal RNA". It matches the Rfam family "Bacterial small subunit ribosomal RNA", at positions 88 to 334 of the family's 1533-position model. The record is from RNAcentral.
CCGGCGACCGGCGCACGGGUGCGUAACGCGUAUGCAACCUUCCCAUUACAGGAGGAUAGCCCGGGGAAACCCGGAUUAAUACUCCAUGGUAUCAUUAAUUCGCAUGUUUUAAUGAUUAAAGAUUUAUCGGUAAUGGAUGGGCAUGCGUAUGAUUAGCUAGUUGGCGGGGUAACGGCCCACGAAGGCAACGAUCAUUAGGGGUUCUGAGAGGAAGGUCCCCCACACUGGAACUGAGACACGGUCCAG